Molecule: ribosomal RNA, 400 nt
Filed under: uncultured bacterium
Lineage: Bacteria
Description: bacterial SSU rRNA
Rfam family: Bacterial small subunit ribosomal RNA
Source: RNAcentral
GAAUCUUGGACAAUGGGCGCAAGCCUGAUCCAGCCAUGCCGCGUGAGUGAAGAAGGCCUUAGGGUUGUAAAGCUCUUUUGGCAGGGACGAUAAUGACGGUACCUGCAGAAUAAGCCCCGGCAAACUUCGUGCCAGCAGCCGCGGUAAUACGAAGGGGGCUAGCGUUGUUCGGAUUUACUGGGCGUAAAGCGCACGUAGGCGGAUUGUUAAGUCAGGGGUGAAAUCCCGAGGCUCAACCUCGGAACUGCCUUUGAUACUGGCAAUCUUGAGGCUGGAAGAGGUUGGUAGAAUUCCCAGUGUAGAGGUGAAAUUCGUAGAUAUUGGGAAGAAUACCAGUGGCGAAGGCGGCCAACUGGUCCAGAUCUGACGCUGAGGUGCGAAAGCGUGGGGAGCAAACAGG